UCAUGAUGAUAUACCAGCUGGCACCAGUCAUAGAGCGACUUGUACUCCCUUUCCUUGAUGACCAAAUGCUGUGUGGUCCACCAGACCCUUUAUCUGAU
This 98-nucleotide small nucleolar RNA is filed under the name Eutypa lata UCREL1. RNAcentral describes it as "A. fumigatus snoRNA Afu_190". It matches the Rfam family "A. fumigatus snoRNA Afu_190". Lineage: Eukaryota; Fungi; Ascomycota; Sordariomycetes; Xylariales; Diatrypaceae. The record is from Rfam by way of RNAcentral.